AGUGAACGCUGGCGGUAGGCCUAACACAUGCAAGUCGAACGGCAGCACAGUAAGAGCUUGCUCUUACGGGUGGCGAGUGGCGGACGGGUGAGGAAUACAUCGGAAUCUACUUUUUCGUGGGGGAUAACGUAGGGAAACUUACGCUAAUACCGCAUACGACCUACGGGUGAAAGCAGGGGAUCUUCGGACCUUGCGCGAUUGAAUGAGCCGAUGUCGGAUUAGCUAGUUGGCGGGGUAAAGGCCCACCAAGGCGACGAUCCGUAGCUGGUCUGAGAGGAUGAUCAGCCACACUGGAACUGAGACACGGUCCAGACCCCUACGGGAGGCAGCAGUGGGGAAUCUUGGACAAUGGGCGAAAGCCUGAUCCAGCCAUACCGCGUGGGUGAAGAAGGCCUUCGGGUUGUAAAGCCCUUUUGUUGGGAAAGAAAAGCAGCAGGUUAAUACCCCGCUGUUCUGACGGUACCCAAAGAAUAAGCACCGGCUAACUUCGUG
RNAcentral lists this ribosomal RNA (492 nucleotides) under uncultured bacterium. Its description in RNAcentral is "partial 16S ribosomal RNA". It matches the Rfam family "Bacterial small subunit ribosomal RNA", at positions 29 to 507 of the family's 1533-position model. The record is from RNAcentral.